AUUGAACGCUGGCAGCAGGCCUAACACUUGCAAGUCGAGCGGCAGCGGGAACGUAGCUUGCUAUCUUUGCCGGCCAGCGGCGGUCGGGUGAGUAAUGCCUAGCGAUCUGCCCAGUCGAGGCUGAUAACAGUUGGAAACGACUGCUAAUACCGCAUUCGCCCUACGGGGGACAGGAGGGGACCUUCGGGCCUUCCCCGAUUGGAUGAACCUAGGUGGGAUUAGCUAGUUGGUGAGGUAAUGGCUCACCAAGGCGACGAUCCCUAGCUGUUCUGAGAGGAUGAUCAGCGACACUGGGACAGAGACACGGCCCAGACUCCUACGGGAGGCAGCAGUGGGGAAUAUUGCACAAUGGGCGAAAGCCUGAUGCAGCCAUGCCGCGUGUGUGAAGAAGGCCUACCGGUUGUAAAGCACUUUCAGUAGGGAGGACAGGUAGUAACUUAAUACCUUAUUGCUGUGACGUUACCUACAGGAGAAGGACCGGCUAACUCCGUGCCAGCAGCCGCGGUAAUACGGAGGGUCCGAGCGUUAAUCGGAAUUACUGGGCGUAAAGCGUGCGCAGGCGGUAAUUUAAGCCAGUUGUGAAAGCCCCGGGCUCAACCUGGGAAUUGCAAUUGGAACUGGGUAACUAGAGUCUUGUACAGGGAGGUAGGAUUUCAGGUGUAGCGGUGAAAUGCGUAGUUAUCUGAAGGAAUACCGCUGGCGAAAGCGGGCUCCUGGACAAAGACUGACGCUCAUGCACGUAAGCGUGGGGAGCCAACAGGAUUAGAUACCCUGGUAGUCCACGCCGUAAACGAUGUCUACUCGGAGUUUGGUGCCUUGAGCACUGGGCUCUCAAGCUAACGCAUUAAGUACACCGCCUGGGCAGUACGGCCGCAAGGUUAAAACUCCAAUGAAUUGACGGGGGCCCGCACAAGCGGUGGAGCAUGUGGUUUAAUUCGAUGCAACGCGAAGAACCUUACCUACUCUUGACAUCCAGAGAAGAGACCAGAGAUGGACUUGUGCCUUCGGGAACUCUGAGACAGGAGCUGCAUGGCUUUCGUCAGCUCGUGUUGUGAUAUGUUGGGUUUAGUCCCGCAACGAGCGCAACCCCUAUCCUUAUUUGCCAGCACGUAAUGGUGGGAACUUUAGGGAGACUGCCGGUGAUAAACCGGAGGAAGGUGGGGCCGACGUCAAGUCAUCAUGGCCCUUACGAGUAGGGCUACACACGUGCUACAAUGGCGUAUACAGAGGGUUCCAAAGCCGCGAGGUGGAGCUAAUCUCACAAAGUACGUCGUAGUCCGGAUUGGAGUCUGCAACUCGACUCGAUGAAGUCGGAAUCGCUAGUAAUCGUGAAUCAGAAUGUCACGGUGAAUACGUUCCCGGGCCUUGUACACUCCGCCCGUCACACCAUGGGAGUGCGCUGCAAAGGAAGUGGGUAGUUUUACCUUCCGGAGAACGCUCACCAAUUUGUGGUUCAUGACUGGGGUG
RNAcentral lists this ribosomal RNA (1467 nucleotides) under Shewanella sp. Aa4. Its description in RNAcentral is "bacterial SSU rRNA". It matches the Rfam family "Bacterial small subunit ribosomal RNA". The record is from RNAcentral. Lineage: Bacteria; Pseudomonadati; Pseudomonadota; Gammaproteobacteria; Alteromonadales; Shewanellaceae.